RNAcentral lists this ribosomal RNA (1038 nucleotides) under uncultured Microbacterium sp. Its description in RNAcentral is "bacterial SSU rRNA". It matches the Rfam family "Bacterial small subunit ribosomal RNA", at positions 303 to 1352 of the family's 1533-position model. The record is from RNAcentral. Lineage: Bacteria; Bacillati; Actinomycetota; Actinomycetes; Micrococcales; Microbacteriaceae.
ACCGGCCACACUGGGACUGAGACACGGCCCAGACUCCUACGGGAGGCAGCAGUGGGGAAUAUUGCACAAUGGGCGGAAGCCUGAUGCAGCAACGCCGCGUGGGGGAUGACGGCCUUCGGGUUGUAAACCUCUUUUAGCAAGGAAGAAGCUUUUGUGACGGUACUUGCAGAAAAAGCGCCGGCUAACUACGUGCCAGCAGCCGCGGUAAUACGUAGGGCGCAAGCGUUAUCCGGAAUUAUUGGGCGUAAAGAGCUCGUAGGCGGUUUGUCGCGUCUGCUGUGAAAUCCCGAGGCUCAACCUCGGGCCUGCAGUGGGUACGGGCAGACUAGAGUGCGGUAGGGGAGAUUGGAAUUCCUGGUGUAGCGGUGGAAUGCGCAGAUAUCAGGAGGAACACCGAUGGCGAAGGCAGAUCUCUGGGCCGUAACUGACGCUGAGGAGCGAAAGGGUGGGGAGCAAACAGGCUUAGAUACCCUGGUAGUCCACCCCGUAAACGUUGGGAACUAGUUGUGGGGUCCUUUCCACGGAUUCCGUGACGCAGCUAACGCAUUAAGUUCCCCGCCUGGGGAGUACGGCCGCAAGGCUAAAACUCAAAGGAAUUGACGGGGACCCGCACAAGCGGCGGAGCAUGCGGAUUAAUUCGAUGCAACGCGAAGAACCUUACCAAGGCUUGACAUACACGGGAACGCCCUAGAGAUAGGGAACUCUUUGGACACUCGUGAACAGGUGGUGCAUGGUUGUCGUCAGCUCGUGUCGUGAGAUGUUKGGUUAAGUCCCGCAACGAGCGCAACCCUCGUUCUAUGUUGCCAGCACGUAAUGGUGGGAACUCAUGGGAUACUGCCGGGGUCAACUCGGAGGAAGGUGGGGAUGACGUCAAAUCAUCAUGCCCCUUAUGUCUUGGGCUUCUCGCAUGCUACAAUGGCCGGUACAAAGGGCUGCAAUACCGUGAGGUGGAGCGAAUCCCAAAAAGCCGGUCCCAGUUCGGAUUGAGGUCUGCAACUCGGCCUCAUGAAGUCGGAGUCGCUAGUAAUCGCAGAUCAG